UGAGGAAUAUUGGUCAAUGGGCGAGAGCCUGAACCAGCCAAGUAGCGUGAAGGAUGACUGCCCUAUGGGUUGUAAACUUCUUUUAUAAAGGAAUAAAGUCGGGUAUGGAUACCCGUUUGCAUGUACUUUAUGAAUAAGGAUCGGCUAACUCCGUGCCAGCAGCCGCGGUAAUACGGAGGAUCCGAGCGUUAUCCGGAUUUAUUGGGUUUAAAGGGAGCGUAGAUGGAUGUUUAAGUCAGUUGUGAAAGUUUGCGGCUCAACCGUAAAAUUGCAGUUGAUACUGGAUAUCUUGAGUGCAGUUGAGGCAGGCGGAAUUCGUGGUGUAGCGGUGAAAUGCUUAGAUAUCACGAAGAACUCCGAUUGCGAAGGCAGCCUGCUAAGCUGCAACUGACAUUGAGGCUCGAAAGUGUGGGUAUCAAACAGGAUUAGAUACCCUGGUAGUCCACACGGUAAACGAUGAAUACUCGCUGUUUGCGAUAUACUGCAAGCGGCCAAGCGAAAGCGUUAAGUAUUCCACCUGGGGAGUACGCCGGCAACGGUGAAACUCAAAGGAAUUGACGGGGGCCCGCACAAGCGGAGGAACAUGUGGUUUAAUUCGAUGAUACGCGAGGAACCUUACCCGGGCUUAAAUUGCAGAUGAAUUAUGGUGAAAGCCGUAAGCCGCAAGGCAUCUGUGAAGGUGCUGCAUGGUUGUCGUCAGCUCGUGCCGUGAGGUGUCGGCUUAAGUGCCAUAACGAGCGCAACCCUUGUUGUCAGUUACUAACAGGUUCCGCUGAGGACUCUGACAAGACUGCCAUCGUAAGAUGUGAGGAAGGUGGGGAUGACGUCAAAUCAGCACGGCCCUUACGUCCGGGGCUACACACGUGUUACAAUGGGGGGUACAGAAGGCAGCUACCUGGCGACAGGAUGCUAAUCCCUAAAACCUCUCUCAGUUCGGAUUGGAGUCUGCAACCCGACUCCAUGAAGCUGGAUUCGCUAGUAAUCGCGCAUCAGCCACGGCGCGGUGAAUACGUUCCC
This 1017-nucleotide ribosomal RNA is filed under the name uncultured bacterium. RNAcentral describes it as "bacterial SSU rRNA". It matches the Rfam family "Bacterial small subunit ribosomal RNA", at positions 355 to 1375 of the family's 1533-position model. The record is from RNAcentral.